CCUACGUGGGGCAGCAGUGGGGAAUAUUGGACAAUGGGCGAAAGCCUGAUCCAGCCAUGCCGCGUGUGUGAAGAAGGCCUUCGGGUUGUAAAGCACUUUCAGUGGGGAAGAAAGCCUUGGGGCUAAUACCCUCGAGGAAGGACAUCACCCACAGAAGAAGCACCGGCUAACUCCGUGCCAGCAGCCGCGGUAAUACGGAGGGUGCGAGCGUUAAUCGGAAUUACUGGGCGUAAAGCGCGCGUAGGCGGUCUGAUAAGCCGGUUGUGAAAGCCCCGGGCUCAACCUGGGAACGGCAUCCGGAACUGUCAGGCUAGAGUGCAGGAGAGGAAGGUAGAAUUCCCGGUGUGGCGGUGAAAUGCGUAGAGAUCGGGAGGAAUACCAGUGGCGAAGGCGGCCUUCUGGACUGACACUGACGCUGAGGUGCGAAAGCGUGGGUAGCAAACAGGAUUAGAUACCCUAGUAGUC
RNAcentral lists this ribosomal RNA (465 nucleotides) under Vreelandella stevensii. Its description in RNAcentral is "partial 16S ribosomal RNA". It matches the Rfam family "Bacterial small subunit ribosomal RNA", at positions 338 to 795 of the family's 1533-position model. The record is from RNAcentral. Lineage: Bacteria; Pseudomonadati; Pseudomonadota; Gammaproteobacteria; Oceanospirillales; Halomonadaceae.